GGGUUCGAGGAGAAAGACUCGUAUUAAGAACUCUCUCUACUACAUGUAUAGACAAAUGCUAGAGACUCCGGCGACUUCUCGGCUCUUAUAUGGCCACAAAGUCGACCGAUUCUUACAGCAAUAUUAAAAUUGCCGAUCGGGUUGGUGUUGAGAUUAUAAAGACGCCGUUAUAUAUGGCACCGAUAUAUGUUAAUGGAAACGAAUAUGAAUCAGCAACUGACGUGUGGGCGUUAGGAUGUGAUGUCGUUGAGAUGUUUAGUGGCAAAACGACAUGGAUUGUGAAAGCAAGAUCACACUUCAUGUUGCUUUGA
Arabidopsis thaliana (thale cress) is the source of this 311-nucleotide non-coding RNA. NCBI's taxonomy places the organism in Eukaryota, Viridiplantae, Streptophyta, Magnoliopsida, Brassicales, Brassicaceae. The record is from RefSeq.